This 226-nucleotide long non-coding RNA is filed under the name Salvia miltiorrhiza (redroot sage). RNAcentral's name for it is "long non-coding RNA (SMIL_LNC012808)". The record is from RNAcentral. Lineage: Eukaryota; Viridiplantae; Streptophyta; Magnoliopsida; Lamiales; Lamiaceae.
CCACCUCCCCCAUGGGAUUAACCCACACUAAUUAUUCCACCCCCUCCAUAGGCUACUAAUUUAGGUAUUUGAUAUGUUAAUCCAACCUAUUUCAAUGGAUACCAAACACUUUUUGAGAUUAAUUACCAAUGAUAUCAAACACCCAUCUGAGAUUAGAAAUCAUGACUAAUCCACACUAAAUUAUCAGGAUAAUUUAUAUCCUGAUUAAUCCAAUACUGAAAAUCAA